AAGACUUUAAGUUAAUUAAACUAAUAUCCUUCAAAGCUAUAAAUAAAGAUAAUUCUUUAAGUCUUA
Molecule: transfer RNA, 66 nt
Filed under: Margattea concava
Lineage: Eukaryota; Metazoa; Arthropoda; Insecta; Blattodea; Pseudophyllodromiidae
Description: tRNA-Trp
Source: RNAcentral